Molecule: ribosomal RNA, 851 nt
Filed under: uncultured Pseudomonadota bacterium
Lineage: Bacteria; Pseudomonadati; Pseudomonadota
Description: bacterial SSU rRNA
Rfam family: Bacterial small subunit ribosomal RNA
Source: RNAcentral
UCAACCUUAACCAGGACAAUGGCUAGAGAUUGGGAAGACAACCAGUGGCAGAGGGCGUUUUUUGGGAAUGUAACUAACCUUGAGGUUCGAAAGCCUGGGGAGCAAACAGGAUUAGAUACCCUGGUAGUCCACGCCCUUAAACGAUGAUUACUAGGUGUAGGGGUUGUCAUGACCUCUGUGCCCCCGUUAACGCAUUAAUUAUUCCGCCUGGGGAGUACGUUCGCAAGAUUAAACUUCAAAGGAAUUGACGGGGGCCCGCACAAGCAGCGGAGCAUGUGGUUUAAUUCGAAGCAACGCGAAGAACCUUACCUAGACUGNACAUCUCCUGCAUUACUCUUAAUCGAGGAAGUCCCUUCGGGGACAGGAUGACAGGUGGUGCAUGGUUGUCGUCAGCUCGUGUCGUGAGAUGUUGGGUUAAGUCCCGCAACGAGCGCAACCCUUAUUGUUAGUUGCCAUCAUUAAGUUGGGCACUCUAGCGAGACUGCCCGGGUUAACCGGGAGGAAGGUGGGGAUGACGUCAAAUCAUCAUGCCCCUUAUGUCUAGGGCUACACACGUGCUACAAUGGUCGGUACAAUAAGACGCAAGCCCGCGAGGGGGAGCAAAACUGGAAAACCGAUCUCAGUUCGGAUUGUAGGCUGAAACUCGCCUACAUGAAGCUGGAGUUGCUAGUAAUCGCGAAUCAGCAUGUCGCGGUGAAUACGUUCCCGGGCCUUGUACACACCGCCCGUCACACCAUGAGAGUUGGCAAUACCCCAAGUACGUGAUAUAACCCGCAAGGGAGGAAGCGUCAUAAGGUCAGGGUCAGCGAUUGGGGUGAAGUCGUUACAAGUUAAAUCGAAUUCCCGCGGCC